GUGAACGCUGGCGGUAGGCCUAACACAUGCAAGUCGAACGGCAGCACAGUAAGAGCUUGCUCUUACGGGUGGCGAGUGGCGGACGGGUGAGGAAUACAUCGGAAUCUACUUUUUCGUGGGGGAUAACGUAGGGAAACUUACGCUAAUACCGCAUACGACCUACGGGUGAAAGCAGGGGAUCUUCGGACCUUGCGCGAUUGAAUGAGCCGAUGUCGGAUUAGCUAGUUGGCGGGGUAAAGGCCCACCAAGGCGACGAUCCGUAGCUGGUCUGAGAGGAUGAUCAGCCACACUGGAACUGAGACACGGUCGAGACUCCUACGGGAGGCAGCAGUGGGGAAUAUUGGACAAUGGGCGCAAGCCUGAUCCAGCCAUACCGCGUGGGUGAAGAAGGCCUUCGGGUUGUAAAGCCCUUUUGUUGGGAAAGAAAAGCAGCAGGUUAAUACCCCGCUGUUCUGACGGUACCCAAAGAAUAAGCACCGGCUAACUUCGUG
This 491-nucleotide ribosomal RNA is filed under the name uncultured bacterium. Its description in RNAcentral is "partial 16S ribosomal RNA". It matches the Rfam family "Bacterial small subunit ribosomal RNA", at positions 29 to 507 of the family's 1533-position model. The record is from RNAcentral.